This 297-nucleotide ribosomal RNA is filed under the name Gonyleptes saprophilus. RNAcentral describes it as "partial 16S ribosomal RNA". The record is from RNAcentral. Lineage: Eukaryota; Metazoa; Arthropoda; Arachnida; Opiliones; Gonyleptidae.
GCAUAAUAAAUAGUCUUUUAAUUGAGGACUGGAAUGAAGGGUUAAUACUAAAAAGAAAGUUUUAUUUAAUUAUUUUGAAUUUAAAUUAAAAGUAAAAAUGCUUUUAUAAAUUUUUGGGACGAGAAGACCCUAGAAGCUUAAAAUUUAUAAAAUUUUUAGUUGGGGUAACAUUUGAAGAUUUGAAUUUUUAAAUAUAAAGCUUAAAAUAAAAUUAAGUUACUCUAGGGAUAACAGCAUUAUUUAAUUAACAAGUUCUUAUUAAUAAUUGAAGUUUGUGACCUCGAUGUUGAAUUAAUU